AUGGUGUGGAACGAGGACUACAAGAUCACCUCGGAUGAGCUCUGGUCGCUCAACUCUUCUGAGUGUCUCCCUCGUGACAUCCUCAUGUUCCCUCAAGUGAACAUCGACAACCCACAUAAAGUGCACUUCCUUAUGAGCGAGUUUGAAUGGGCGCUCAAGAAGAUGUGGGUGGUCGUCAUUAACAUGAAGACCAAGACCGUGGAUUCAUUCUCUAAAUAUAUCAAUGGAAUGGAGGGCCUUGAAACUGACGACGGUGACUUAACCAGAAAAAGGUCCGAAGCACCCAUGUCAUUUCUCCCCUGCGAGUUCUCCAAGUUCCUCCAACCCUCGAGUUGA
RNAcentral lists this ribosomal RNA (336 nucleotides) under Triticum aestivum (bread wheat). Its description in RNAcentral is "partial small subunit ribosomal RNA". The record is from RNAcentral. Lineage: Eukaryota; Viridiplantae; Streptophyta; Magnoliopsida; Poales; Poaceae.